GACGGUGAAAGUCCAGAAAGCUCUGGUUCAUCUUGCCAGCUCUGCAGCAAGACCAUGCCACACCUGACUUCAGGAAGGCUGGAUAGCAACAAUACCCAUGAUGGCUGGGGCUUAAGUCCCAUGAGUUUGCAGACCCAGAAUCUCUCAGUUUUCGGCGGACACAACAUCUUUGUAUGUGGUGCUGAGGAUCGAACCCGGGCCGCACGCAUGCCAGGCGAGCGCGCUACCACUUGAGCCACAUCCCCAGCCCACAUUAAAACAUUUUUAAGAAGAAA
This is a long non-coding RNA of Marmota monax (woodchuck), 275 nucleotides long. RefSeq lists it as uncharacterized. Lineage: Eukaryota; Metazoa; Chordata; Mammalia; Rodentia; Sciuridae. The transcript is spliced from 2 exons. The record is from RefSeq and is a predicted model, not a curated record.